RNAcentral lists this ribosomal RNA (845 nucleotides) under uncultured bacterium. RNAcentral describes it as "bacterial SSU rRNA". It matches the Rfam family "Bacterial small subunit ribosomal RNA", at positions 509 to 1354 of the family's 1533-position model. The record is from RNAcentral.
CAGCCGCCGCGGUAAUACGUAGGGAGCAAGCGUUGUUCGGAAUCAUUGGGCGUAAAGAGCGCGUAGGUGGUCUGAUAAGUCUGGUGUGAAAGCCCACAGCUCAACUGUGGAACUGCAUCAGAAACUGCCAGACUUGAGUGCGGGAGAGGAGAGUGGAAUUCCCAGUGUAGAGGUGAAAUUCGUAGAUAUUGGGAGGAACACCGGUGGCGAAGGCGGCUCUCUGGACCGCAACUGACACUGAGGCGCGAAAGCUAGGGGAGCGAACGGGAUUAGAUACCCCGGUAGUCCUAGCCGUAAACGAUGGGCACUAGGUGUGGGGGGUAUUGACCCCUUCCGUGCCGCAGCUAACGCAUUAAGUGCCCCGCCUGGGGAGUACGGUCGCAAGACUAAAACUCAAAGGAAUUGACGGGGGCCCGCACAAGCGGUGGAGCAUGUGGUUUAAUUCGACGCAACGCGAAGAACCUUGCCUGGGUUUGACAUCCCUUGACAACAGCAGAGAUGCUGCUUUCCUUCGGGACAAGGAGACAGGUGCUGCAUGGCUGUCGUCAGCUCGUGUCGUGAGAUGUUGGGUUAAGUCCCGCAACGAGCGCAACCCAUGCCCUUAGUUGCCAGCGAGUAAUGUCGGGAACUCUAAGGGAACUGCCGGUGACAAACCGGAGGAAGGUGUGGAUGACGUCAAGUCCUCAUGGCCCUUAUGCCCAGGGCUACACACGUGCUACAAUGGCCGAUACAGAGGGUCGCAAUACCGUGAGGUGGAGCCAAUCCCAAAAAGUCGGUCUCAGUUCAGAUUGCAGGCUGCAACCCGCCUGCAUGAAGGUGGAAUCGCUAGUAAUCCCGGAUCAGCA